CCACUGAAGAAGAUAGUGGACGAACGGGUGAGUAACACGUGGGUAACCUGCCCAUAAGAGGGGGGAUAACAUCCGGAAACGGGUGCUAAUACCGCAUAGUUUUCUUGAUCGCAUGAUCGGGAAAGGAAAGACGGCCUUUGUGCUGUCGCUUAUGGAUGGACCCGCGGCGUAUUAGUUAGUUGGUGAGGUAACGGCUCACCAAGACGAUGAUACGUAGCCGACCUGAGAGGGUGAUCGGCCACAUUGGGACUGAGACACGGCCCAAACUCCUACGGGAGGCAGCAGUAGGGAAUCUUCCGCAAUGGACGAAAGUCUGACGGAGCAACGCCGCGUGAGUGAAGAAAGGUUUUCGGAUCGUAAAACUCUGUUGUCAGAGAAGAACAAGUUGGAGAGUAACUGCUCCAGCCUUGACGGUAUCUGACCAGAAAGCCACGGCUAACUACGUGCCAGCAGCCGC
Molecule: ribosomal RNA, 457 nt
Filed under: uncultured bacterium
Lineage: Bacteria
Description: bacterial SSU rRNA
Rfam family: Bacterial small subunit ribosomal RNA
Source: RNAcentral